This is a long non-coding RNA of Ornithorhynchus anatinus (platypus), 321 nucleotides long. RefSeq lists it as uncharacterized. The transcript has 2 exons. Lineage: Eukaryota; Metazoa; Chordata; Mammalia; Monotremata; Ornithorhynchidae. The record is from RefSeq and is a predicted model, not a curated record.
UCGCCGCCGCAACCGUUCCGGGAUGAAAGCUCCCGCGUGGGGGUGGGAGGAAGCCUGGUCCGGAGCCCCGGCUCACACAUCGCUGGGCUCACGGACUCCACCCGACUGACCGCUGGUGACUGUGCCGCCGGCGACGCAGCCCUCCUCCCCCUUCCCGGCCGCUGGACCUGGGGGGAGUCUCCACGUCAGGAUAAGGGGGAGGGCAGGCGCACGCUGUUCCAACAGGGAUCUCUCUCCCGCAGGCCUGCAGCAGGACUCAUGGCUAAAACGGAACUUUCUGUUGAAGAGUGGGCUUAGAAAAAUACAGUUUCUCGACGGGAA